This 46-nucleotide small RNA is filed under the name Acidobacteriia bacterium SbA2. RNAcentral's name for it is "Solibacteres bacterium SbA2 Acido-Lenti-1". It matches the Rfam family "Acido-Lenti-1 RNA". The record is from RNAcentral. Lineage: Bacteria; Pseudomonadati; Acidobacteriota; Terriglobia.
CCCAGGGCUUGCGCCCUGGGCUACUCUCUUUCGCCCCUUCGGGGCU